RNAcentral lists this long non-coding RNA (2593 nucleotides) under Gallus gallus (chicken). RNAcentral describes it as "lncRNA (ENSGALG00010026208.1)". The record is from RNAcentral. Lineage: Eukaryota; Metazoa; Chordata; Aves; Galliformes; Phasianidae.
GAAUAAAACCAGCACAAUACUCUCUCCUCUCAGGUUUGGGAACAAGGUUAUAGAAACCCUCACCUCACAUAUCAGCCCAGGAGCUUUGGAGAGACAACGGUCCUUCAGCAGUGGCACAAAAGCACAGCCACAUGGGGACCUUCAGGUCCUGUAAGAGAUAUAACAUGGCAUAAACUCAGCAACUUUAGAAAGCAGCUUUUUUUGGAGGUUGGAACUGAGAUGAUUAGGAAGUUUCUUUUCUGUAUGGAUGGAAUCCUAGCUUCAAUUUGACCAUUUCCAAAAGCAACUUGCAUUUCAGGUGCCCAAUGAAAUUCUCAAUGGACGUUUUCAUGAGAUGUUUUUGUUGGACCUUUUGUUCCAUCAGUAUUUCAAAGUUUCUGGCUCUACAUGAAUGAGAAGCAAGUGUUAACUACAUGAGCACAGCCAAGGAGGGCCUCAGUAACUGCAACAAACACCACCAUUACUAUUGUCUGGCUUUGUUAACUAGGAGGCUAGCUAACAGUUUCUCAGUGGAAAAGCAGCAAAUACUAUCCAGCUUGAGAAGGCCUUAUUUCAGAAAACAGAGCCACACAAAGCCAUAAACUGAAGAGGUCUUUUUAGGGAUCUCGCCUACCUUUUCUUCCAAGGUAAGUGACCCUGGACUCAGUCAGUCUUAUCAGCAGUCUCAGGAAAACAGCAGCCUUCCAGACCUGAGGGGACUUCACAGCUACUCCAGAAAAUGCUCGACUUCCAGAUUUCAGAGAGGGCUGGAAAAAGAGCUAUUGGCAGUAAAUACUUCAAAGAAAGACUGAAAUACAUGGUCGCACCACUCCUCUUUGUAUUUCAUUGAAUCACAGAAUGGCUUAGGUUGGAGGGGACCUUAAAGACCAUCCAGUUCCAACGCCCGGCCAUGGGCUGGUUGCUUUCACCAGCUCAGGCUGCCCAGGGCCCCAUCCCACCAGAGUGCCUCCAGGGAUGGGGCACCCACAUCUCCCUGGGCAGCAAUGCCUCAGCACCCCCCAAGGAAAGGAUUUCUUCCUAACGCCUAAUCUAAAUCUCCCCUCUCUUCCUUUAAAGCCAUUCUGCCUUGUUCUAUCACUGUCAGACUGUGUAAAAAAUCGGCCCCUCUCCUGCUUAUAAGCUCCCUUCACCUUGUGAAAGAUUGCAAUGAGGUCUCCCUAGAGCCUUCUCUUCUCCAAGCUAAACAAGCCCUGGAGUUGCUCCAGACUUGGAUAAUCUCCAUGGCCCUCCCCUGGACCUUCUCCAAUACCUCCACAUCCCUCCUGUACUGGGUGCCCCAGGCCUGGACACAGCACUGCUGAUGGGGCUUUCCAAGGGCAGAGCAGAAGGGAACAACCCUGUGCCACCCCUCUGUGGGUGCAAGAGCACCCCUGCUGGGCCGCAAGCACACACUGCUGCCUCAUGUCCCACUUCUAUCCAUCAGGACCCAAAGCUCCUUCUCUGCAGGGCUGCUCUCAAGGAGUUCUCCCAUCCUGUACUCAUACCUGGGAUUAACUUGACCCAAGUGCAGCACCUUGCAUUCAGCCUUGUUCGACUUCAUUUGUUCCUUCCUUUCCCCUCCUAAGGAAUGCUGCUCAGAAAGAGAUGGAGCAGGAGCUGAUUCCACUCUCAUUCCUCUGAAGCAAAGCCCACUUCAGAGCCAGACCCUCUCAGCAUGAAAACAGCAAUGACAGAAAGGGUAUAUUCCAUUUAAGGCUCUCAGAGCAUUGGACACCAGAAGAUACAACAGUUGCUACAGUCAUCACAACAGGAAAUAAUUUAAGUGCACUCUGCCCCCAGAUCACACCUCUGAAGACUCAUGAGGUCUCUGCCAGCAAACCUUAUUGAGGUCAGUAAGAUGACACUGAAAACAUGCAUGGGCAAUGUGGAGCUGCUGGGCAAGGCUUAGAAGUAAGGCUCUAAACUGUACCUAAAAGAUCCUCACAAAUACCCCUGAUAUCAGAUGUCAAAGAGACUAUACAGAACACAUUGUUAAGUGGGGGCCAUUAGUGGCCUCACAUCAUUUCUGCUUUACUGACUUACCAACAGAAACUCUAAAAUUAGUGAAGAAUGUUAAGAACCUCAGCUUAUCUCUCAGGCCUACGCAUUAUUGAUGCUGAGCACGCAUGUACUUCAACCAACUGAAAAAACCCAACAAAUAUGAAUUAUCCACAACAUAAUUGAUCAUGUGCAUCUCUAACUACAUACACAUCUAUGCUGUAGCCAUUGCCUUUUAAGUUAGGUUCCUGAAGGAAGUGAACUGCUGGCUGCUUUACUUUGAAGAUGCAAUAGUUGCUCUUCUAUCUCUUCAAUCCUCUGAGCAAUGCAGUUCCUCUCUAUUUCCAGCAGCAAGGCUUCAUCCCUCUUCGUGGCCCAAGAACCUAACAGUUCCGAAUACCGCUGAGCUCCCCACACUUCUUUGUUGCUUGAAGUCUAUUACAGAAAACCAAAACAAAAGCAGUGUGAAAGUUCAUUGGACGGCAUCAAGGAAUGCCUACACCACUGAGUCCAGGGGGCAAAAAACCUGGGACAGAAUCAACUGCUGCCAGCACUAUGUUCUGCCUAUACAAGAGCAUGGGACGAGCUGCACCAUGCAUGCUGACAGCACCCUUAG